Molecule: ribosomal RNA, 392 nt
Filed under: uncultured bacterium
Lineage: Bacteria
Description: bacterial SSU rRNA
Rfam family: Bacterial small subunit ribosomal RNA
Source: RNAcentral
AGUAACAUCCGGAAACGGGUGCUAAUACCGCAUAGUUUUCUUGAUCGCAUGAUUGAGAAAGGAAAGACGGCCUUUGUGCUGUCGCUUAUGGAUGGACCCGCGGCGUAUUAGUUAGUUGGCGAGGUAACGGCUCACCAAGACGAUGAUACGUAGCCGACCUGAGAGGGUGAUCGGCCACAUUGGACUGAGACACGGCCCAAACUCCUACGGGAGGCAGCAGUAGGGAAUCUUCCGCAAUGGACGAAAGUCUGACGGAGCAACGCCGCGUGAGUGAAGAAAGGUUUUCGGAUCGUAAAACUCUGUUGUCAGAGAAGAACAAGUUGGAGAGUAACUGCUCCAGCCUUGACGGUAUCUGACCAGAAAGCCACGGCUAACUACGUGCCAGCAGCCGC